GCCUUCGUGAUGUAGUGGUCAUCAGGCUGGACUCGUGUUCGAGAGAUACUUGGUUCGAGUCCGGGGGAGGGCA
This 73-nucleotide transfer RNA is filed under the name Stegodyphus mimosarum. It matches the Rfam family "tRNA". Rfam says of the family: Transfer RNA (tRNA) molecules are approximately 80 nucleotides in length. Their secondary structure includes four short double-helical elements and three loops (D, anti-codon, and T loops). The record is from Rfam by way of RNAcentral. Lineage: Eukaryota; Metazoa; Arthropoda; Arachnida; Araneae; Eresidae.